Molecule: ribosomal RNA, 624 nt
Filed under: uncultured bacterium
Lineage: Bacteria
Description: bacterial SSU rRNA
Rfam family: Bacterial small subunit ribosomal RNA
Source: RNAcentral
UCAGAGGGGGAUAACCCGGCGAAAGUCGGACUAAUACCGCAUGAAGCAGGGGCCCCGCAUGGGGAUAUUUGCUAAAGAUUCAUCGCUGAUAGAUAGGCAUGCGUUUCCAUUAGGCAGUUGGCGGGGUAACGGCCCACCAAACCGACGAUGGAUAGGGGUUCUGAGAGGAAGGUCCCCCACAUUGGUACUGAGACACGGACCAAACUCCUACGGGAGGCAGCAGUGAGGAAUAUUGGUCAAUGGGCGUAAGCCUGAACCAGCCAAGUCGCGUGAGGGAUGAAGGUUCUAUGGAUCGUAAACCUCUUUUAUAAGGGAAUAAAGUACGGGACGUGUCCCGUUUUGUAUGUACCUUAUGAAUAAGGAUCGGCUAACUCCGUGCCAGCAGCCGCGGUAAUACGGAGGAUUCGAGCGUUAUCCGGAUUUAUUGGGUUUAAAGGGUGCGUAGGCGGCCUUUUAAGUCAGCGGUGAAAGUCUGUGGCUCAACCAUAGAAUUGCCGUUGAAACUGGGGGGCUUGAGUAUGUUUGAGGCAGGCGGAAUGCGUGGUGUAGCGGUGAAAUGCUUAGAUAUCACGCAGAACCCCGAUUGCGAAGGCAGCCUGCCAAGCCAUGACUGACGAUGAUGCA